RNAcentral lists this ribosomal RNA (451 nucleotides) under uncultured Fibrobacter sp. RNAcentral's name for it is "partial 16S ribosomal RNA". It matches the Rfam family "Bacterial small subunit ribosomal RNA", at positions 341 to 792 of the family's 1533-position model. Lineage: Bacteria; Pseudomonadati; Fibrobacterota; Fibrobacteria; Fibrobacterales; Fibrobacteraceae. The record is from RNAcentral.
ACGGGAGGCAGCAGUAGGGAAUAUUGCACAAUGGGGGAAACCCUGAUGCAGCAACGCCACGUGUGGGAAGAAGCAUUUCGGUGUGUAAACCACUGUCGUGAGGGAAUAAUGCUUGGUCUCGGCCAAGUUGAAUGUACCUCGAAAGGAAGCACCGGCAAACUUCGUGCCAGCAGCCGCGGUAAUACGAGGGGUGCAAGCGUUGUUCGGAAUUACUGGGCGUAAAGGGCGCGUAGGCGGACAAAUUAGUCAGGAGUGAAAUCCCGGGGCUCAACCUCGGAACUGCCUUUGAAACGGUUUGUCUUGAGUAUGACAGGGGAUGAUGGAAUACCCAGUGUAGAGGUGAAAUUCGUAGAUAUUGGGUAGAACACCAGAGGCGAAGGCGGUCAUCUGGGUCAUUACUGACGCUGAGGCGCGAGAGCGUGGGGAUCAAACAGGAUUAGAUACCCUGGUA